Molecule: unclassified non-coding RNA, 309 nt
Filed under: plant metagenome
Description: partial contains 5.8S ribosomal RNA, internal transcribed spacer 2, and large subunit ribosomal RNA
Rfam family: 5.8S ribosomal RNA (bases 1-105)
Source: RNAcentral
GAAAUGCGAUAAGUAAUGUGAAUUGCAGAAUUCAGUGAAUCAUCGAAUCUUUGAACGCACAUUGCGCCCGCCAGUAUUCUGGCGGGCAUGCCUGUUCGAGCGUCAUUUCAACCAUCAAGCCCCCGGGCUUGUGUUGGAGACCUGCGGCUGCCGCAGGCCCCGAAAACCAGUGGCGGGCUCGCUGUCACACCGGGCGUAGUAGAUUUUUCGUCUCGCCCAGGGCGUGCUGCGGGUUCCGGCCGUUAAAAAGCCUCUCUUUUAACCCAAGGUUGACCUCGGAUCAGGUAGGAAGACCCGCUGAACUUAAGC